RNAcentral lists this long non-coding RNA (210 nucleotides) under Homo sapiens (human). Its description in RNAcentral is "long non-coding RNA NONHSAT198767". The record is from RNAcentral. Lineage: Eukaryota; Metazoa; Chordata; Mammalia; Primates; Hominidae.
ACUCACAGAUUAUCGCCAUCAAGGAGUUGAAGUUGCCAAUGUUAAAACACUCCCGAGCUACGUCAAUGAAAUACUCAAUCAUUCUUGCUCGGUGUUUUUUCUUAACAGGCUAUCACCAUACAGAUUUCUGUAGCAACCAAGUAGCUGAGGCGAUUAAACCAUUCCACGUAAGCUUCUAAGUUUCGUGUUUUCUUCCGUUCACUGUAGCAA